Molecule: ribosomal RNA, 569 nt
Filed under: Phoma herbarum
Lineage: Eukaryota; Fungi; Ascomycota; Dothideomycetes; Pleosporales; Didymellaceae
Description: eukaryotic LSU rRNA
Rfam family: Eukaryotic large subunit ribosomal RNA
Source: RNAcentral
GCAUAUCAAUAAGCGGAGGAAAAGAAACCAACAGGGAUUGCCCUAGUAACGGCGAGUGAAGCGGCAACAGCUCAAAUUUGAAAUCUGGCGUCUUUGGCGUCCGAGUUGUAAUUUGCAGAGGGCGCUUUGGCAUUGGCAGCGGUCCAAGUUCCUUGGAACAGGACGUCACAGAGGGUGAGAAUCCCGUACGUGGUCGCUAGCCUUUACCGUGUAGAGCCCCUUCGACGAGUCGAGUUGUUUGGGAAUGCAGCUCUAAAUGGGAGGUAAAUUUCUUCUAAAGCUAAAUACUGGCCAGAGACCGAUAGCGCACAAGUAGAGUGAUCGAAAGAUGAAAAGCACUUUGGAAAGAGAGUUAAAAAGCACGUGAAAUUGUUGAAAGGGAAGCGCUUGCAGCCAGACUUGCCUGUAGUUGCUCAUCCGGGUUUUUACCCGGUGCACUCUUCUAUAGGCAGGCCAGCAUCAGUUUGGGCGGUUGGAUAAAGGUCUCUGUCAUGUACCUCUCUUCGGGGAGAACUUAUAGGGGAGACGACAUGCAACCAGCCUGGACUGAGGUCCGCGCAUCUGCUAGG